This 311-nucleotide ribosomal RNA is filed under the name uncultured bacterium. RNAcentral's name for it is "bacterial SSU rRNA". It matches the Rfam family "Bacterial small subunit ribosomal RNA", at positions 555 to 865 of the family's 1533-position model. The record is from RNAcentral.
UGGGCGUAAGGGUCCGCAGGUGGCAUUGUAAGUCUGCUGUUAAAGAAUCUAGCUCAACUAGAUAAAAGCAGUGGAAACUACAAAGCUAGAGUAUGGUCGGGGCAGAGGGAAUUCCUGGUGUAGCGGUGAAAUGCGUAGAUAUCAGGAAGAACACCGGUGGCGAAGGCGCUCUGCUAGGCCAAAACUGACACUGAGGGACGAAAGCUAGGGGAGCGAAUGGGAUUAGAUACCCCAGUAGUCCUAGCCGUAAACGAUGGAUACUAGGCGUAGCUCGUAUCGACCCGAGCUGUGCCGUAGCUAACGCGUUAAGU